CCUACGGGAGGCAGCAGUGAGGAAUAUUGGUCAAUGGACGAGAGUCUGAACCAGCCAAGUAGCGUGAAGGAUGACUGCCCUAUGGGUUGUAAACUUCUUUUAUAUGGGAAUAAAAUGUUCCACGUGUGGGAUUUUGUAUGUACCAUAUGAAUAAGGAUCGGAUAACUCCGUGCCAGCAGCCGCGGUAAUACGGAGGAUCCGAGCGUUAUCCGGAUUUAUUGGGUUUAAAGGGAGCGUAGGUGGAUUGUUAAGUCAGUUGUGAAAGUUUGCGGCUCAACCGUAAAAUUGCAGUUGAAACUGGCAGUCUUGAGUACAGUAGAGGUGGGCGGAAUGCGUGGUGUAGCGGUGAAAUGCUUAGAUAUCACGAAGAACUCCGAUUGCGAAGGCAGUUCACUGGACUGCAACUGACACUGAGGCUCGAAAGUGUGGGUAUCAAACAGGAUUAGAUACCCCAGUAGUC
Molecule: ribosomal RNA, 460 nt
Filed under: uncultured bacterium
Lineage: Bacteria
Description: partial 16S ribosomal RNA
Rfam family: Bacterial small subunit ribosomal RNA
Source: RNAcentral